UGAGGGGGUCGGAAAAUUCCACAACACCGGCAGCAGCCUCCAGCUGUCCGGGGCUGCUGGUCUCCUGACCCCGACGCUGCUUGUUCGACCUCCAAAAGGGGGACAGCGGGUCACUGAAGGGACUGAAGGGCUGGGCUUGACAAUGAGGUGUUAGAUUUAUGACCCCCGUAGUCCCGCUUGGCUUUGUUCGUUCGGAACUGAAGCCGUUUGAGCAGAGCCCCGCCCGCCAGGACCGUCACGGUGUACGUCUUCAUCACACACUUGCAGUAGUUAAUUAGUAAUGUUAAAAAUUCACAACAAGCCAUAACUACUUUAAUAUAAAUACAUAAAUACAUAUAUAUGUUGUUAGUUUCUUCUUAGUAUUAUUAUAUCAUACUAUUUUUAAGUAUGUCUUCAUUUCCCCCCUUUCAAUUUCUAAAGGCGUUUAAUCAAACUCAGAUUUAUAUCUUCCUUGAAAUAGCAACAUAAUCAGUUUUUGUCAUGGUUAUCUGUUAUAAUGUGCUAUUUUUAAGUUUUAAUGGAAAUGCCUGGAAGAGGUUCAUGUGAUAAAAAACGUUAAAAACACUGGCAGCACUACAGAAGACAAAGAAAAGAAAAAAUCUGGUAACAACAAAGUUUAUUUUAUGAUACACUGCCUACAUGAUCAUAAAUAAACAGAUUAAAAAUCCUUACCCACAUAACCCCUGUCAUUUGUCCUUUGCGGGAGAGCUGCCUGAUGAUAAAAAUCACUUAAUUCAGAUUAAGAUACAGUUUUCAACAUAUUGCUUUUCAAAUGUUACCUUUUUUAAAAUGUGCUAUAAAAAGUUGACACACCACUUUAGAAAAAUAUCAAAAUAGAAACAAAAAAUGCCCCAGUAACCUUCCAACAUCACCUCCAGUGAAUCCAGCAGGUAAACAACCCCAUUCACAAAAAAAAACAACUGUGUCUUCGUUUUGGUAAUUUGCACAGGCUACAUUAAUUGACUGUCCCCCCCCAAAAAGGAUUAACUUGUUUUGUGUCUUCUUUGCAGAUCUUCCAUGUCUGGACACAUGCAGUCAGUGAGGUGGGCUAUGUGGGUGCACUGCAACAGCCAAUCCUGCAUAUUAGGACUGAAGGAUCAGAAAUCUAAGUUUUUU
Molecule: long non-coding RNA, 1116 nt
Organism: Larimichthys crocea (large yellow croaker)
Lineage: Eukaryota; Metazoa; Chordata; Actinopteri; Sciaenidae
Exons: 2
Source: RefSeq, a predicted model, not a curated record